CAGCCGCCGCGGGAAUACGAAGGGGGCUAGCGUUGUUCGGAUUUACUGGGCGUAAAGGGCGCGUAGGCGGACUGAUAAGUCAGGGGUGAAAUCCCAAGGCUCAACCUUGGAACUGCCUUUGAUACUGUUUGUCUUGAGUUCGAGAGAGGUAAGUGGAACUGCGAGUGUAGAGGUGAAAUUCGUAGAUAUUCGCAAGAACACCAGUGGCGAAGGCGGCUUACUGGCUCGAUACUGACGCUGAGGCGCGAAAGCGUGGGGAGCAAACAGGAUUAGAUACCCCAGUAGUCCCUGUCUCUUAUAC
This 301-nucleotide ribosomal RNA is filed under the name uncultured bacterium. RNAcentral describes it as "partial 16S ribosomal RNA". It matches the Rfam family "Bacterial small subunit ribosomal RNA", at positions 509 to 807 of the family's 1533-position model. The record is from RNAcentral.